AAGAUAAACACCAUUUAUUAUAUGGUACCUCUGACACACCUUAGUCAAUUAAUGUCUACCACCUAAUCGAAUGAACGUAUUCACAGCCAUUUCUUGCUCUCAGAUUUUAUGAUGGCUUCCACAGGAGGUCAUAAGCUUGUUUUUAAUACAGAUCCGAAUCCCAUAGUGCUGUUUCGCCAAUGGAAACUCGAAACAACUGGAAGUGUUGCUGCAACGUGUAUAUUGAUAGCAAUAUGGGCACUUCUGUAUGAGGGUGUAAAGUUCUUCAGAAAUACCCUUAAUCGAUGAUCCCAAUGCAAAGAUAAGAACCUCGCCGUUUUCCUGGGGGUCAUUUCCUACAAACCAUCCUACAUCUUCUCCAACUCCUGGGCGGCUACAUUCUAAUGCUUGUUGCCAUGACGAUGAAUGUCUGGCUGUUUUUGUCCAUUCUUUUGGGACUGGGUUUGGGUUACUUCGUAUAUGGCUGGGCAAAAUACAGCUGAUGCCUAAUUCUUCUGGCACCCAGUCCAACGGGGUAGCAAGAGUUGGGCGUAAACCAAUGUUGGGACUGCUGACAGCCACUGAGGGAAAAACUCCGAACCAUUACGAACUGGAACCUUUGCGCGAAAACCACUACGUUAAACCACAAACGCAAGCAACAACAGAAAAUGGAAUUGUUGUCAUGAAUGUGACGUCAAUCUAAACAGCCCCUCAAUCUUGUCAUCCCAGUUGUUUAAAAGUGUAUUAAGACAGAUUUAUCCAUCAACAAACAUGUCAUUUUAGGAUUACCGCUGCAGGGUGACAGGUUAAUGUUAUAAUAAACGAGAGGAAAACCCGUCACUGACAAUUACAGACUUUGGCAGACGACAGUGAGUGUAAAGAUUGCAUUAUUUCUUAAAUACAAAAGUAUGUCUUAAAGCGGCAUUAUAUGUAGUUUACAGCUUUUUGAAAAACUGGGACAUACGGUAAUACAUUGUCACCAAAACGAAACCUUUGCCCUGUCAUUUGCUGAUAGUGCAGCGGACUGAGCCUAUGCUGCUGGAGUAGCUUUUUUUCACACUUUUUUGUGUCCAGUAAAUUUUCAAGAUGUUCUAUGUUAGUGCGGUUCUCAUACUAAAAUUUUCCUGAGAGUAUACCAAAAAGUGGGUAAGUGUCGAAUCCAUCAUCAGACAAACGUUUAAUAUCGUUACACGAAUUAAGUUAUGUAAAAUUCAUCUUUAUUUAUUUGUUACCAAACCAGCUGUUUCUAUAUACGUGCUGUUAUAUUAUUUUUUUCAAUACUUUGGUGAAAACAUAUCGUAUCAGCAUGUGUUUAUAAUGGCUCCAUGUUAUAUACUCUUUAAGUUAUUUACAUACAACAUAGUAGGACUGCAUGCUGUAUGUCAUGCAACAUAUAUGCAUUUGCAUUUGUCAUUUUUGCAAACUGUUUCUUUCAUAAAUUUAUUGCGAAGUAAAAUUGUGCAGUGUAACUGUUCAUGCAACUUAACUAUCAAAGCUUUUUGUUCUGUAUCAUUUUCCCCCCUACUUAAUAAAACAUAAACUAAGUAACAGCUCAUUUCACUUUAGUAAAAAGAGUUUAAUUGAUUUAUCUUAGUUUAUCAGUU
Long non-coding RNA from Liolophura sinensis, 1583 nucleotides. RefSeq lists it as uncharacterized. The transcript is spliced from 5 exons. The record is from RefSeq and is a predicted model, not a curated record. NCBI's taxonomy places the organism in Eukaryota, Metazoa, Mollusca, Polyplacophora, Chitonida, Chitonidae.